CUCCAAACCCAAUCCAGAAUCCUUCAAAUGGCAAGGCUCCUCCUUCUAACGCUACAUCUGACAGCACGUAAGGUGGAGAAAUACCGAUCCUGACUGAGUUGGCGCAAGUCUUGGAGAUCCACACCAGGAACAUGAUCUGAUGAAAAAUACAAUGAACCACAUACUCAAUUUUCUCAUCAAACUGACAUCCGAGUUAGGCAGUAUCGGUGUACCUAGUUCGAUUUGUUCCACUGAAGUGAAUCCACGAAUUGGUGAUCGAGUUUAAGAUGGAUACACGUAAUUCAACUCAAGGAAAAGUGAGAUAUGCAGUAUGGGAACACUUUGAGAAACUGGACUCUACAACAGCAAAGUGUAGGCACUGCUCAAAGAUAUAUGCUGCUGAUGCCAUGAAAAAUGGGACAUCUAAUUUGAUAGCUCAUAUAAAAAGAUGCCCGUUCUUUCAAGUAAUGGAGCGACAAAGAUCUUGAUGUUCAUGUUUUAUCUAUGUCGCAAUCCUGCAUAUUUAUGGACGGAAGUGAAAGUGGUGUGAAACUUUUGUUUUAAUGUCAAACACACAACUUUAAACUGCUUGUUUCAGGAGUUUAACUUGUAACUUAUUUUAAACCUUUGAUUCUUAAGAACAUAUGAUGUAAUUACAGGUAAAAACCCGGUACCGGUGUUGUACCGGACCGGUACCGGAGGUACAGGUAUAGGUCC
Molecule: long non-coding RNA, 696 nt
Organism: Papaver somniferum (opium poppy)
Lineage: Eukaryota; Viridiplantae; Streptophyta; Magnoliopsida; Ranunculales; Papaveraceae
Exons: 2
Source: RefSeq, a predicted model, not a curated record